GUUGGUCGUGGCGGCCGUAAUUAUAGACCCUUCGCCAUUAAAAUGCUCCUGGGUUGCCCUAAGAGGAUAUUUGGUCCUUGGCUCCGCUGGGAUUCUGGUCCCUGCCCUGGUUAUCUACUCCACCCCUCUUUUAGCCUCAGCAGGUAUUUGGCUGCAUCGACGGGUUUUUGACUUUAUUCUCGCCCAAAUUGUUUGAAUUGGUACCCCUUUGGGGGAUCGGACUAGCCCUGCUGCGGACUCCUUCCCGAAGGCAACACUCAUUGUCCCGCCACCCCACCCUUCUGAGAACCUGCCCCCCACUCUCAGGAUGCUGCUGAAGCUGAGACACCCGGAGGCCCUCUAGUCAUCAGUGCUCCCGAAGUGGUCCAGCCUCAGGAGAUGGCCGGCCAGCGGCCCCUCGCUCCUGCGCCGUGAGGUCCUGCCGUGCGGUCCUGCGGCUAAGGAUCCUGACAGUGUAUUAUUUCAGCUUUCUCUCUGUAACUGUUCUGAUUCUGCAAGAACGUGUCAAUGUGUCGUGGAUCUCAGACUAAUUAGUUUUGAAAUGGAGUUUUGAUUGAACUCUUCAAAUCGAUGCUGCUGCAAAAUUUGUUUCUCGGGCUUCCUAUUAAAAGCCAUCUUAAGGGGCAGUUUUACUACUCUCCCUGUCGUUCAGUCGAUACAUUUAAUAACAACUUACAGGCUAUUUUCAAUAAAGUGGCGACAGCAAAUUAGUAGUUUGAACAUGACAAGCCUCUUCUGCAAGACCAGAUUCUGAAAACUCAAAGCAAUUAUUUUCCUAUAGAGGCAUGUGCCACAGUCCUUCCCACUAUGGGGUCUUCUGUAGGAGCACGUCCCCUGGUUUGACACCCAUGGCACUUUAUGACUUUAUUUGGACAAGGAAGAAAUGCAAGUAUUCAUGUUUAUGCUGACACCACCGGCGUGUGCACUUGCACGCCCUGAUACUUUUGUUUUUCCCUGUUGGACAGGGCCUCUCUGACCUUGCUUGCUUGUUCCCGGAGCACCUUCCGGGGUGAACGCAUUUUGGUCUGUCUCAUCCAUACGGGUGGCUAGUACAGAGGGACGCCCCAAGGCGAAGAAAGCCCCCAGCUGGAGUCUACAGAAGCCAGCACAGCCCCGGUUCGGGGUUGGUGGCCCCGUUUGGUGCGCCUGUGGAAGGAGGACGGCCUCCCGUACACGGCUUCCUCCAGGAGCCCACACUUGCCUGUGUCUCCCUCCUCCCCAGCCUCUCCGUCUCCCCCUCCUCCCCCCAUGGCAGAUGUUGUGGUCUCAUUUGAUUGCAUAGGAAAACUGCAGUGAUACAGCAAACACCCAGAGAGAUAUGAUGACAAAUGGGUCCAGAUCCCGGUAAAUUACUUUCUGCUCAAAUCGAAAUUUCAUUCAGUUUGUUGCUAGCAGAGAUGAAGUAAUCUAAAUUGUGGACUCAGGAGCAGAUAGAGGGAAGUUGGAGCAAGCAUUUCAUUAUCAAGAGAGAGAGAAGGUUAGGAUGAAAGAGAUGAGCAGAGGCAAAUCUUAAGUGUUGACACCAUGAUUGAAAAGGUUAACCCAUCCGCAUUAUAUAUCAACCUGGUAGCAGAGAGUUUCUAAUGGAAAGUCUGCACUGAUGGAGGUUUACCCGAGUUUCAAUACACCGAGCAUGAUGUCUUCUUAGAUAUACAAUCAAAUCCUCUUAACCCUUUUGAUGACUCAUAUCUCAAGAUAUGAUUAAAGUACAAAAGAGUUCUUCAUAUAAUUUCAAGGACACCAUGCAUUUAAACUCCAGGCAUGAAUUGUAUCUGUGUGUGUGUGUGUGUGUGAUGAACUCGGUAAUCUGAUAAAAUGUGUGUAGAACAGAAUUGUUUGGUAUUUGCUAGAGGCGUAAGUCAACAUCCUGAUUAAACCCGGGGCAUCUUCUUCUCUGCGGUAGGCAGAAGUGAGUUGGGACCCCCAAAAGGAUUUUUUUUCCCAGAUCAUGCAAAUCGCUCCUAAAAUCCGAGGCCUGAGCCUCAGCAUUCAGCCUCUGUCAAAUACAUUCCAAGGGGAGGGCCAGAGGCUGGGGGUGGGGGGGGGGUGGGGGGGCGUGCUUCCUCUGCUUCGGUUUCCAGUAUUCAUCAGUGUCCCGUCAUCUCUGUUGCAGGUUAUUUGGGAAUAGCGGUGCUUGCAGUGCUUGUGGACAGUCUAUUCCUGCGAGCGAGCUGGUCAUGCGGGCCCAAGGCAAUGUGUAUCAUCUGAAGUGUUUUACAUGCUCUACCUGCCGGAAUCGCCUGGUCCCAGGAGAUCGGUUUCACUACAUCAAUGGCAGUUUAUUUUGUGAACAUGAUAGACCUACAGCUCUCAUCAAUGGCCAUUUGAAUUCACUUCAGAGCAAUCCACUACUGCCAGACCAGAAGGUCUGCUAAAAGGUCAGAGUGAUGCAGAAUGCGUGCCUUCAUCUCAGAUUUUGUUCAUCGCAGGUGGAUCCCCUGUGUCUUCAGUAGACAAGUCACCUUUGUAGCACCAGUGCCAGCUCCAUGCCAUUGCACCUUCUUUAGUCUUGAUUGCCCUUCCCGCAUUUAUUGGUGUAUUAAAAUGACUGAAUAUGAACAUUAAGGACGCCAUGAACCUGGGCUAAUGGGAGACUGUAGAGAAAAUGAAAAAAGAUCCACCGGAGGACAUCUUUGGGGGGGAGGGAGCUUGGGAGGAGGGAGAUGACUAAUGAAGCUAAUUAAAAGAAGCAUUCAAAUCUGCUUUCUACCCUCAUUAACAAUUAGCAGGGCACUGGCCAGAGUUGGCACCCUGCGUUUUACCUUUCCAACAUUCUCUUUGCUCUUUGUAUAUUUAAGUGUCGUAAGGAAAUGUGUUUCAAUCAAAACUGAACAUGAGAUAAAGGAAAGAUGUGGCUUUUGUGAUAUUCUAUCACAAACACUUUUAUUGUAUCUCUCUGUAAAAUACAAUGUAUGUAUAUGCAUGUAAGUGUUUUUGUCCUGAUGUUGCUACUCCCAUGGCAAAGGAAAAAAAAAGAAUGAAAAAAAGAAAAAAAAAA
RNAcentral lists this long non-coding RNA (2998 nucleotides) under Sus scrofa (pig). Its description in RNAcentral is "lncRNA (ENSSSCG00040063563.1)". Lineage: Eukaryota; Metazoa; Chordata; Mammalia; Artiodactyla; Suidae. The record is from RNAcentral.